AGUGAACGCUGGCGGUAGGCCUAACACAUGCAAGUCGAACGGCAGCACAGUAAGAGCUUGCUCUUACGGGUGGCGAGUGGCGGACGGGUGAGGAAUACAUCGGAAUCUACUUUUUCGUGGGGGAUAACGUAGGGAAACUUACGCUAAUACCGCAUACGACCUACGGGUGAAAGCAGGGGAUCUUCGGACCUUGCGCGAUUGAAUGAGCCGAUGUCGGAUUAGCUAGUUGGCGGGGUAAAGGCCCACCAAGGCGACGAUCCGUAGCUGGUCUGAGAGGAUGAUCAGCCACACUGGAACUGAGACACGGCCCAGACUCCUACGGGAGGCAGCAGUGGGGAAUAUUGGACAAUGGGCGCAAGCCUGAUCCAGCCAUACCGCGUGGGUGAAGAAGGCCUUCGGGUUGUAAAGCCCUUUUGUUGGGAAAGAAAAGCAGCAGGUUAAUACCCCGCCGUUCUGACGGUACCCAAAGAAUAAGCACCGGCUAACUUCGUG
This 492-nucleotide ribosomal RNA is filed under the name uncultured bacterium. RNAcentral's name for it is "partial 16S ribosomal RNA". It matches the Rfam family "Bacterial small subunit ribosomal RNA", at positions 29 to 507 of the family's 1533-position model. The record is from RNAcentral.